CCUACGGGAGGCAGCAGUGAGGAAUAUUGGUCAAUGGGCGCAAGCCUGAACCAGCCAAGUCGCGUGAGGGAUGACGGUCCUAUGGAUUGUAAACCUCUUUUGUCGGGGAGCAAGGCCCGCCACGUGUGGCGGGAAGGAGAGUACCCGAAGAAAAAGCAUCGGCUAACUCCGUGCCAGCAGCCGCGGUAAUACGUAGGAGGCAAGCGUUAUCCGGAAUGACUGGGCGUAAAGGGUGCGUAGGUGGUUCGGCAAGUUAGUAGCGUAAUUCCGGGGCUCAACCUCGGAACUACUACUAAAACUGUUGGGCUUGAGUGCAGGAGGGGCAUAUGGAAUUCCUAGUGUAGCGGUGGAAUGCGUAGAUAUUAGGAAGAACACCAGUGGCGAAGGCGAUAUGCUGGACUGUAACUGACACUGAGGCACGAAAGCGUGGGGAGCAAACAGGAUUAGAUACCCUUGUAGUC
Molecule: ribosomal RNA, 461 nt
Filed under: uncultured bacterium
Lineage: Bacteria
Description: partial 16S ribosomal RNA
Rfam family: Bacterial small subunit ribosomal RNA
Source: RNAcentral